Molecule: small RNA, 779 nt
Filed under: Pongo abelii (Sumatran orangutan)
Lineage: Eukaryota; Metazoa; Chordata; Mammalia; Primates; Hominidae
Description: processed transcript
Source: RNAcentral
CGAACGCUCCCUCCGCCGCAAAGAUGCCCCCUUCCGCUGGAAAGCGGUGCCUCCCUGGGUGCUCGCGAAAGCAGCCCUGAGAAUGGCAGCUCUCAGAGGUUGAAGUCAUUCUUUUCGGGGGACGGGGCACGGCGACUGUUUGAUUGGGGGCCUCGCUAGAGGAAUGUGCAAGGACAGAAGGGAAACUGAGGAGACCCGCAACUCAUUAGCAAAAUAAUAGGGUGCACUUCAAUAAAAAUGCGGUCCUGAAGUGGAGCGGACUCACCUGCAAGGAGCCCGGAAAAUCGACAGGGGCGGCGGCAAAAUACUAUCAAAUCAGCCUGGGAAGCAGCUUUUCUCUCAGCAAGUUCAAGAGAACAAAUAUGUUAUAAUCCUUGCCUAUUCUUGCCUCCACUUCAUAAUGUCAUAAAAGCCACCUGGGGUAUCAUUUAUCAACCUCUCUCCAGCCCACUCUUCCAAAAUAAUACUACAGUUUCCUACAUGUGUAUUUUUGCCAGGACUCCAAAGAGCCUUGCUAAAGUGGAACAAGGAGUAGAGAAUUGAACUGUGAAAAAGAAGCCCGAGAUCCCCCAGCGAAAUAGUGUUGCAGCCCCGUUGAAGGAGUCAACUUGCAGGCUGUUAAAGACCUCAAGUCAUUAGAAUCAGCUGCUGCACUAAAGGGGCAAGUCAGCGCCUCUAAGUGGCUUAGCGCACAAACGAGGCUCCCGAGACGGCCUCGGCAACUCCAUCCCCUCCUCCACCACCCGCUGGAUGUGAAAAGCUUUCCGGAGCCCAUCUUG